AGAUUGAACGCUGGCGGAAUGCUUUACACAUGCAAGUCGAACGGCAGCACGGGACUCAGGCAACUGAGCCCUGGUGGCGAGUGGCGAACGGGUGAGUAACAUAUCGGAACGUACCCAGUCGUGGGGGAUAACUCUCCGAAAGGAGAGCUAAUACCGCAUACGUCCUGAGGGAGAAAGCGGGGGACCUGCAAGGGCCUCGCGCGAUUGGAGCGGCCGAUAUCGGAUUAGCUAGUUGGUGGGGUAAAGGCUCACCAGGCGACGAUCCGUAGCGGGUCUGAGAGGACCGACCCGCCACACUGG
RNAcentral lists this ribosomal RNA (300 nucleotides) under uncultured soil bacterium. Its description in RNAcentral is "bacterial SSU rRNA". It matches the Rfam family "Bacterial small subunit ribosomal RNA", at positions 26 to 316 of the family's 1533-position model. The record is from RNAcentral.